AAUACUUUGAACUUCAUUAAAUUGAUAUUCAUGUGGCAACAUCAACAUAAACUUCAGCUAAAAUGCAAUACUGUCAACAUCUAAGCUAUGUUAUUCAUUGUAAGGGAAAACCAAACAAUGAAGAAAUUUAAAGAAAAUAUAUACAUAACAUUUUCAGAGCUCCUUGAAUCUGAUUUAGGAAUACACCCAACUAUCUCUAAUCCGAACGAUGCACCUAUAAGCUUAAUAUGACAGCUCCUAUGACAAUAAAAGAGCCAAUACCCAAAUAUCUUUCAGGUACCCUGAAUUUAAGUGUUUCAAAUAUACAAGGUUUGUUCUUACAUAACCUUUUUUUUAAAGUGUAUGAAAAUGUCCAUCGUCUUUGUGUCUCAGCAAUGUAGUCCGACAUCAACCGGACAGGACAAAUUGAAGUAGUUUAUUCUUUUCCAGAAUUGUC
Molecule: long non-coding RNA, 436 nt
Filed under: Mytilus galloprovincialis (Mediterranean mussel)
Lineage: Eukaryota; Metazoa; Mollusca; Bivalvia; Mytilida; Mytilidae
Source: RNAcentral